CCAACAGGGAUUGCCUCAGUAACGGCGAGUGAAGCGGCAAGAGCUCAAAAAUGAAAUCCGGCCCCCCUGGGGGCCUGAGUUGUAAUUUGCAGAGGAUGCUUCGGGCGCGACCGCGGUCCAAGUCCCCUGGAACGGGGCGUCGUAGAGGGUGAGAAUCCCGUCUCCGGCCGGCCGGUCUCGCCCGUGUGAAGCUCCUUCGACGAGUCGAGUUGUUUGGGAAUGCAGCUCCAAAUGGGUGGUAAAUUUCAUCUAAAGCUAAAUACUGGUCGGAGACCGAUAGCGCACAAGUAGAGUGAUCGAAAGAUGAAAAGCACUUUGAAAAGAGAGUUAAACAGCAUGUGAAAUUGUUGAAAGGGAAGCGCUUGCGACCAGAGUCGGCCGCGGGGGUUCAGCGGGCAUUCGUUGCCCGUGCAAUCCCCCGCGGCCGGGCCAGCGUCGGUUUCGACGGCCGGUCAAAGGCCCCCGGAAUGUGUCGCCUCUCGGGGCGUCUUAUAGCCGGGGGUGCAAUGCGG
Molecule: ribosomal RNA, 512 nt
Filed under: Histoplasma capsulatum
Lineage: Eukaryota; Fungi; Ascomycota; Eurotiomycetes; Onygenales; Ajellomycetaceae
Description: eukaryotic LSU rRNA
Rfam family: Eukaryotic large subunit ribosomal RNA
Source: RNAcentral